GUGGGGAAUAUUGCGCAAUGGGCGAAAGCCUGACGCAGCAACGCCGCGUGGGGGAUGAAGGUUUUCGGAUUGUAAACCCCUUUCGAUCGGAACGAAUCUCCUCCUGGUAAACAAUCAGGAGGAUCGACGGUACCGAGAGAAGAAGCCACGGCUAACUCUGUGCCAGCAGCCGCGGUAAGACAGAGGUGGCAAGCGUUGUUCGGAUUUAUUGGGCGUAAAGCGCACGCAGGCGGUUUGGUAAGUCAGGGGUGAAAGCCCACAGCUUAACUGUGGGAUUGCCUCUGAUACUGCCUUUCUCGAGUGCAGGAGAGGGAAGCGGAAUUCCGAGUGUAGAGGUGAAAUUCGUAGAUAUUCGGAGGAACACCGGUGGCGAAGGCGGCUUCCUGGCCUGUAACUGACGCUCAGGUGCGAAAGCGUGGGGAGCAAACAGGAUUAGAUACCCCGGUAGUCC
Molecule: ribosomal RNA, 451 nt
Filed under: uncultured bacterium
Lineage: Bacteria
Description: bacterial SSU rRNA
Rfam family: Bacterial small subunit ribosomal RNA
Source: RNAcentral